Molecule: long non-coding RNA, 634 nt
Organism: Fopius arisanus
Lineage: Eukaryota; Metazoa; Arthropoda; Insecta; Hymenoptera; Braconidae
Exons: 2
Source: RefSeq, a predicted model, not a curated record
GAUGAAAGCUCUGCUGAUGUUUUUGAAUAAUCGGGUGGGAGAAGGUCUCGUUCUUGGAAGAAUUUCGGAAGUUCGAGUCCUUCACGGUCAGUUGAGUCGAAAGCUCGGUGACGAGGUGCUACAUCAAUCCUCACAAAGAAAUCAUUGAAAGAUCGUCCAAAUGAUCGCAAAAGGAGCGCACGAGACCCAAAAUCUUCUCACGACUUAUCUGAUUCUUCUGGUACUGCUGAUAUGCCUCUGGGUACUCUAUUCCGGCAUUUAUUAAUUCAUUCGAAUGAAUUUGAAUUGAGUAAUGAAGAGUUCUUCAUGUCUGUGGGAUAAAAUGCAAGGCAACAAUGACCUCCGGGUGGCACUGGAGUCUCGAGAACCUCCACGAGGAUUAAUCCAACGUCCAGACACUUUUGCAUUCAGAAUACCCAGGAAUCGAUUAAUUAAUUAAUUGUUCUGUUAUUCAUAUUUUUUCGUCGAGUGCGCUUGAUAUUAUUUGUGUGUACAUAUCCUGUUUAUUGUAUCAGCGAAAUUAUUUCAUCAUGAUCGCACAAUUUCCAAUGUUGCGAGUGGAAAAUUGAGAUUAAAAAAAUUUUGUGAUGACAGUCGCUAGUUUGUCAUGAGUAAAAUGGACUUUCUAUUAUCA